AUUUAUUGGGCGUAAAGAGCUCGUAGGCGGUUCAACAAGUCGGGUGUUAAACCCCCAGGCUCAACCUGGGGCCGCCACCCGAAACUGUUGUGACUAGAGUUUGGUAGGGGACCACGGAAUUCCUGGUGUAGCGGUGGAAUGCGCAGAUAUCAGGAGGAACACCAGCAGCGAAGGCGGUGAUCUGGGCCAAUACUGACGCUGAGGAGCGAAAGCGUGGGGAGCGAACAGGAUUAGAUACCCUGGUAGUCCACGCCGUAAACGGUGGGCACUAGGUGUGGGGACUUUUCAACGGUUUCCGCGCCGCAGCUAACGCAUUAAGUGCCCCGCCUGGGGAGCACGGUCGCAAGACUAAAACUCAAAGAAAUUGACGGGGGCCCGCACAAGCAGCGGAGCAUGUGGCCUAAUUCGAUGCAACGCAAAAAACCUUACCUAGAUUUGACAUGCUGGGAAAGGCCACAGAGAUGUGGUGUCCUUCGGGGCUCAGCACAGGUGGUGCAUGGCUGUCGUCAGCUCGUGUCGUGAGAUGUUGGGUUAAGUCCCGCAACGAGCGCAACCCUUGUUCUAUGUUGCCAGCACGUAAUGGUGGGGACUCGUAGAAGACUGCCGGGGUCAACUCGGAGGAAGGCGGGGACGACGUCAAGUCAUCAUGCCCCUUACGUCUAGGGCUGCACACAUGCUACAAUGGGCGGUACAGAGGGCUGCUAAACCGCGAGGUGGAGCCAAUCCCUAAAACCGCCCUCAGUUCAGAUUGCAGGCUGCAACUCGCCUGCAUGAAGUUGGAGUUGCUAGUAAUCCCGGAUCAGCA
Molecule: ribosomal RNA, 805 nt
Filed under: uncultured Actinomycetes bacterium
Lineage: Bacteria; Bacillati; Actinomycetota; Actinomycetes
Description: bacterial SSU rRNA
Rfam family: Bacterial small subunit ribosomal RNA
Source: RNAcentral